Molecule: ribosomal RNA, 397 nt
Filed under: uncultured bacterium
Lineage: Bacteria
Description: bacterial SSU rRNA
Rfam family: Bacterial small subunit ribosomal RNA
Source: RNAcentral
GGAAUUUUGGGCAAUGGGCGAAAGCCUGACCCAGCAACGCCGCGUGAAGGAUGAAGUCCUUCGGGAUGUAAACUUCGUAAGAAUGGGAAGAAUCAAUGACGGUACCAUUUGUAAGGUCCGGCUAACUACGUGCCAGCAGCCGCGGUAAUACGUAGGGACCAAGCGUUGUUCGGAUUUACUGGGCGUAAAGGGAGCGUAGGCGGCGCAUCAAGUCAGCUGUGAAAUCUUAAGGCUUAACCUUAAGCGGUCAGCUGAUACUGUUGUGCUAGAGUGCAGAAGGGGCAAUCGGAAUUCUUGGUGUAGCGGUGAAAUGCGUAGAUAUCAAGAGGAACACCUGAGGCGAAGGCGGGUUGCUGGGCUGACACUGACGCUGAGGCUCGAAAGCCAGGGGAGCAAA